UUUUCUCUCUGUUUGAUGUUUCAUUCAUUGAUUCAUCAAUAAAAUUAUGUAUGUCAAUUAAAACAUGAUAUGGAUGACUCAUAACUUUCCAUAUGUGAUUUUUAAAUGACAUGACAAAAUUCUAUUGGUGGGAUAAAGAAGAGAUUAGACCCAAACGGCCGAAGA
RNAcentral lists this microRNA precursor (165 nucleotides) under Lotus japonicus. RNAcentral describes it as "miR11173 stem-loop (lja-MIR11173)". The record is from miRBase by way of RNAcentral. Lineage: Eukaryota; Viridiplantae; Streptophyta; Magnoliopsida; Fabales; Fabaceae.